ACAUUCCCAAUAAGCUCACGAACCAUGGCGCUUGCUUGAUUGAUUUGAUCAAAUGUACCCUCUAACUCAAUAUUCCUUAAGUUGGGGUCAGUCUCAUGCUCCCUUAUUGAAAGUUUGGCCCCUGUAAGACGACAGAUUUGCUUCGAGUUUACACCAUUUUUCCCAAUGAUGGCUCCAGCAAGUGAAGCAUCGAUACUGAUCUUAGCAGUGGCAGAGGCCCCAAAGCUGGAAGCAGCACCAAAACCUUGGUGAGGAGGCUCCAUUUGACGGCCCAUCCUACCUGAAAUUGGACCAAUUGAACGAGGAUCUUCAAAGGAUGGACCAGGAGGUUUCCCAAGCUCCCACUCACCAUGCGCAAAGUGGCAUUUAUCCCCAAACUUACAACCUUCAGCCGUAUUGUAUUUAUUGCACAAACGGGUCUUCA
Molecule: unclassified non-coding RNA, 424 nt
Filed under: Hevea brasiliensis (rubber tree)
Lineage: Eukaryota; Viridiplantae; Streptophyta; Magnoliopsida; Malpighiales; Euphorbiaceae
Source: RNAcentral